Anolis carolinensis (green anole) is the source of this 1578-nucleotide long non-coding RNA. RefSeq lists it as uncharacterized. Lineage: Eukaryota; Metazoa; Chordata; Lepidosauria; Squamata; Anolidae. The transcript is spliced from 4 exons. The record is from RefSeq and is a predicted model, not a curated record.
UGGCCCUGUGGGAUUGACUCCCAAGACUGCUGUUGCGACCCCAGAGGUUAAUCCCCACAGCAAUCCUGUUUCUUCAGGUUCCUGGAGCCCAAAGAAUUGGGAUGGCACCCCCACCCUCCCUUCGCAGUUCCUAUUUCCCGCAGAAACCUAUGAGGAGCCUGGCUUCAUGCUCAAGCCCCUCCGUGGAAAGCUACUGAUGCAUCAAAAUGAUGUGUUGGAAGGAAAGAAGAUUCAAGAGUGGGACUCUCUGCUUUGGAGGCUUUUAAACAGAGGAUGGAUGACCAUCUAUUGGGGCUAUUUCGAUUAAUAAGGAUUUAUAUGAAUGGCAUCUAAAAAGAACAGUGGGGGUCCCAAGGGCAAGGGCCUGGCUAAGAAAGUGCCGGCAAAGUGCCUAUUCCCCCCCCCCUCCAAUAUUUCUGCCUCAGUUGAAGAUGACAUUACAGUGGAGACCAUCAAUGUUGGCUCAAGAAGUGUUGCAGAAACUGAACACUCUUGCCUCAACCUGCUGAAUGCCAGGGACCAUGGAGCCUACUUGCAGUGGAACCCCAGUCUCAGACACAACAUCCUAGGAAUCCCACACAGACAACAGAGAGUUAGAAAAAAAAAGAAGAAAGAGGAUUCGGACAAAGAAGCACCAAGAAAAAAAUUAAAAAGAGAAAGGUAGAUCAGAACUAGGCCAAAUGAUUUACCUGCUUUAUGAUAUAUGCGGAUGUGCUUGUAAAGACCUACCUGACAAGGGCUUACUUCUUUUCCAAUAUCUCAAUAUUAUAUACUCGGCAUAUGUUAAUUUUGCGGGCAACGCUUUGAUGCUUUAUUAUAAGUGCUUUAGGUUUUAUGCAGCCCAGUAUCCCACGUUACGUUGGGUUCUUAUAGAUAAUCAACUUUGGAUGGAGGUUAUGACCCCAGCCCAGUCGGUUUGGGAUGAAAAGGCUGACAGUGGGUUAUACCAUGCAGAACUUUCAUACAACAGCCCCCCAACAACAGGAACAACAACAACAACCUGUCUUGUGUUGAGAGUAUUCAUCCCAAGGAGGGUGCUCCACACAGCUUGCAAAUUUCAGCAUUUAUGUAAUGGAGGACACUCUGCCAGUAUUUGCACCAAGAGAAGGCCAUUCAAGGCCAACCAGAGAGAUAAUCAAUAUUCCAAAGGAACCAUGGGCCCUUCUUCCCUCCCCAAAGAGCCCCAGCCCAAUUAAUUUGAAACAAUAGCAAAUUUGGACAAUAACCUAGCCUAAUCCAGCAGCAGCCGACUACUACUUUGACUUUAGCCAAAGCCUUUCAUUUAUCGUUCACCUUGUUUCGUUGUUAUUGUAGUGUAUGUUUUUCAGAUGCAGAUCCAUUGGUGCUUAGAAGGCUGGGCCCAACAUGUGGGCACAACUACGUCCACUGGGGCUGAGUGACAGACCUGUGGAAUCCCCAUGGCCUACACUUGGCCACUGUUCAAUGGGAAGGCAGGAAGGGCCUCCAUUGAGACAGUUUGUAUCUACUGCUGUUUGAAUUGUGGAAUGGUUUCCUUCCUGAUGUUGUUGGUUAUCCACGUCGAUAAAAUAUCUUGGCCUGUCAAAGGCAUGCAUUGUC